Molecule: unclassified non-coding RNA, 5611 nt
Filed under: Ooceraea biroi (clonal raider ant)
Lineage: Eukaryota; Metazoa; Arthropoda; Insecta; Hymenoptera; Formicidae
Description: uncharacterized LOC105286726, transcript variant X3
Source: RNAcentral
GAAAUCCAACAAGGAACGCUCAGAGCCACGCGAGCGGCCGCGCGAUACGGUUUCGAGUGUUUUCAAUGUCGGUGUGAUCACUCGUCGCGUAAUGUGCAUCGACAAAUAUCCGAGCCACGCGAGGCUCGCCUGUGUUGCCCUUUUCCUCACGGCAAUUCUUUCCCCAUUCGGACUCUGCCAGAAUGCCGGGGUGCACGGCACGUUCAGGGACGGGGUUGGGAGACCACCCGACCCUUCCGGCGACAACUCGUACACCAAUCUGGAAACCCAUCAGCAGUAUAGUCGGGACGCAGCUUCUGGGAGAACGGAGGCACUCGAGGAAAACAGAAGGACGCUCACAUCGCGAGGCGUUGUCAAGGAGCCGGAGGAGACGGAAACGGAAGCGAAAGCGGGGGCCCGCGGCGAUGAGCGCGGGGACAAACACCUCCUUUUGUCGGAAAAUGGUGCGAAAAUUCCUCUCGGGCGGAACGUAAACGUCACGAUAUUGAGCAGACAGCAGGAAGGCAAUUUCGGAAGUCGGACGCGCAAGAAGCGCCGUAGGGCGAAGGAGUCGAAGAGUCCCGGUUCCGAGGAUCACGCGAUUGCCGAGGACAGUCGCGAGAACGAGGUGAGCGAGAACGAGCGGGCACAAUCGUCGCAGAGGAGGAACAAUGUCCUGUCGAAGUCGAGGUCGAAGAACCGGGAGGCACGGAAGUCCCGCGCGGAGCGGCGUAGACGGAAAAAGAAGAACAGGAGGGAGCGGAACGGAAGUGAUAGGAGGAAUUCCCGGCGGAACGACAAAAGGCAGGACGUUGCGCGUCGAUCAUCGAAGUACAAGCGGAAGACGCGCGAUGGUACAGCCGAUAAACCCGAUUUCACCGAAGCCUCUACAUCCGAGCUCGCAACCGACAAACCGUUCACCGUCACCCCCAUCGAUCGCGAUUCGCUAACGAUUACUGUCGGCACGACGGCAUCUCCGAGUCCCCAGGAUCGUUCCCCGAUGAUGGGAAGUCUGACGAUGCCACGACGUGGCAUUUACACAGCCGACACCGUGGAGAGAGAACUCUCUAAGCAGCUCGAGAUGGAAAUUUCCAGGUCGGCCGCGAAGGACCCGUCGAUCCUGGAGGAUGGUAUCUUCGACAGCCCUCCGAAGAAAUCGGCUGGAGAACGGAGCGCUUCAAGCGCGGUCAAAAACGCGGAGAAUGCGAUCGCUUCCGGUCAGGUCGAUCUUAGCGAGUCGCGUUAUGACGCCGAGAAGAUGCUGGGCUACUCGAGGACCGAGGAGGACUUGCCGAUUCUGGAACUGGAGAACCAGGUGCUGGAGAGGACCCUGAAGGACUACAACGCGUACAUGACGUCGCGGCUGAAGCUGAUGUCACCGAGCCACGAGGAGUUACCGGCGCCGGCGUCGAUUCGUCGCACCACGGGCGUUCAUUCGCCGAGAAAGCCGAUAAUUAAUUCGGAAGAGAGCGAGGGGGUGUCCGACGACGAUGACGGCAACGACGACGGAAGCGCGGAAGUCACGAGCGCGACGAGUGAGGCGCAGGAUGACGGCACUAGAGGAGACUUAUCAUGCAUAAACGGGACGUUCCUGCCAGCACCUCUAUCUCGCCACGCGCUGAUCAAAUAUGUAAAGUCCUCGACCCCGGGCCACGAGUAUUUGGAAGCCGAUUACGAGUGUGUGCCAGGUUUCCGCAUGACGUCCCCCACGAGCCGAUUAGUCUGCAGGAGUCGUCAGUGGGUGGGACAGGUGCCAAAGUGCGAGAUCAAGCAAAACCCGAACGGGGUAUGCGCCGAGGCAUCCUGCGAGCACGUUUGCAACGAAAUUAACGGGCGUCCCGUCUGCUCCUGCUACAAGGGAUACAGAUUGGAUGGCCGCAAAUGCGUUGACAUCAACGAGUGUCUGUUGAACAACGGGCACGGUCCUUGCCAGGACACCUGUCGAAAUCGCGUAGGAGGCUACGAGUGUUCUUGUGACAGUCUGGUAGGUACAUCACUGGCCGCUGACAAUCACACGUGCGAACACGACAAGCAUAUUGGCCCGUGCAGCGUUAACAACGCCGGCUGCUCUCAUACGUGUCUGUCCACGAUGGGCCGUGUGUUUUGCCUGUGUCCUGACGGCUUCAUGCUGGAGGAUGACUGGAAGACUUGCCAAGAUGUGAACGAGUGCUCGGUGCCGGAUCUUCAGACGGAGUUGUGUCGCUUCGGGUGCAUUAAUACUCCAGGCUCUUAUCGAUGCGCCGAACCCAUGGAGCUGAAGGAUCAACCGGUUCUGGACAGCCUGUCUAUCACUUGCUUGCCGGGUUACGAACAGACACCCCACGGGACGUGCAUCGAUAUCAAUGAGUGUGCGGUUGACAACGGCUGGUGUGCGGAAGUGUGCGAGAACACAGACGGAAGUUUCUUCUGCGCCUGCGACGGGGAUGAGAAAGUCCUGUCAUCCGACGGGAAAUCCUGCGUAGAUAUAAAUAGUAUCGCGUGUGCACCGCUAAAUCCGGUAGGUCGUGGUUAUUUUAUCUGUUCUCGAUUAACCGCGCCUAGACCAUGGCACAGCCGGCGAAAAAUGACCAAUCGACCCGGCACAAGAUGCUCUCUGAAGUGUCCUCCUGGCUUCCAGCUUCGUGGCGAGUACGAAUUGACCUGUCGAUCUGAUGGCACCUGGGAUGGAUCACAGCACGGAAAAUGCGUUAGAUACAACAAGCCCCGAUUGGAGUGUCCAAAGGAUGUCGUAGCCGAGUUACCGCCCGGCAGGGACGAGGCGUUCGUGACCUUCGAUCAGCCGGUGACAGAUCUCGAUUGGUUCCGAUACGUGCGGUCGAAGCCCUCCUGGGGCACGCGGCUCGAGGCCAACCUGAAGCCCGGCGUGCACGAGAUCACGUUUUCCGCGAGACACCCGGUAUCGAAGAAGCAAGCCAGCUGCGUACUGCGCAUUACCGUCAAAGGCGGCGAGGCGCCGAAAGUCAAAGAUUGCCCGAACGACAUCGAGAUAGUCGGCAGGAACGGCACGGCGAUCACCUGGACGGAGCCGACUUUCACGGACAACGUGAAGGUGACGCGAAUCAGUAAUAACGAGAGCCCGGGACAUCGUUUCGACAUCGGCGGCCACAGGAUCGAGUACGAGGCGAGCGACGACGCCGGCUGGUCGAGCAAGUGUAUUUUCACCAUGGUCCUUCGUCGGCAGUGAGCUUCCGGGAUCGCUCGAGGAGGGAUCCGCAAGGAAACAGACUGUGCUAUGUUUCCACAGAAGAGACAGCGAGGAAGAGCGGCACGGAAGAAUAACGACAAGGUUGCACGUGGAAAACACGAGAAAAAGAAUAAUCCGUUCAUGAUAUCCGUUCACGCAUGCACGCGUGCUUCCAACUGCCAGCAACCCUCGUCUCCCGCGUGGCGACACGCCUAAUUAACUUUUAGGGCGCAUAAUUCUAACUACUCGCGAUAAAAUUACACGCGACACAACGACGAUCAACUCGUCGCUCGCAAUCUUCUUCGAUCGGCGUAACUUGACGAUAGCUUAGUGGCGUUAUAACGCCGUGAUGAAAAGCGUUACCGUGAAUUUUACAUGUCAAAUAUUUUAUGCGAGAGAGAGGGUAGCGCACGGAUUUUUCAUUCUCGGAGAGAAACGGGGGUUUCAGCAAUUUGUAUAAUUUACGUUUUCGUAACCGUUUUCCGUAGAGGAGGCGCGCGUAAUGUAAAGUCCUCGUGAAAUCGGCAACGCGCGCGAAGUCGAAUUACCAAUUUGCGGAUCGCCACGCGGAUAUUACGCUCCCAUUUUCCCUCGUGAUUAACGUCGAUACAAUUUUUAUCACAAUCAUGACGAUGUAGCACGGUGCAUAAUGCAACCGCAAUACGGGAUUGCGGACGGAGAAUCGCAUUAUCGAUUCCCGUUCGCCCAACAGUUAAACAAUCGAAUUAACGGGCGCUCGUCGUGUCGCUCGCCAAUACCAUGCGUAUCCUCGAUGCGCACCCCCCAUCACCGACGACGUGACGCUCGAGUAUCUCGAGAUGCUCGUGCAGGUGACGAUGUGGAAUUGCUUCGAAGACACGCCGACACCGGGAUCCUUUCCCGGAUAAGAUUCUCGGCCGAGUCUAUUCGCUGACGAGCCUGCCAGACAAUGGAAAGCACAUCGCGUGUCUGAAUCUCACACACGAGCGUCGAUAUUCUCUAAGCAAACUGACAUGGAAUCUGACGCGAUGUCACACCGCAUAAGCCAUCGCGGUUUACGGCGAUAACAUUAAUGUAGAGAACUAGAGAGAGAGAGAGAGAGAGAGAGAGAACUGCAAAUGUUAUUACCGCUUUACCAGCAGUUUAGAAAUUGCAUCUUACAAAGUAAGAUAAUAACUGACAUCCUUUCAUAAUUUCUUACAAAAAUAUUCACCAUCUUUUUUUUAUUAUUUUGUAUUAAUUAAUAAUUCUUCUUUUAAUCUUUCGGUGCAUUUCAAGAGCUUGGGAAGCUUAGGCUUGCCCAUACCUUCAGCUUUCUUUGCAUUAUUCGAGAUCUAGGAAAAGUAGACUAGUCCUUCGUGCUUGUUUGCUCGCAAUAUAUGCUACUUUAUCUUAUACUAAAAUAUUUUCUCCUUAUCGUUCCUCUAGAAUGUAAAAAUGUAAAACAUAUAACGGUAUAUAUAUGGACUUUCGAGGCCGGUGUAUGAAGUGUAACGAUAGAGAAAAAAACAAUUUGCACCGGAGAAUUAAUAAAAAUAAUGGAAUCAGUGACGCUUUCGACUUAAAAUGUACAAAACGGUUCCGAUUACUUUGCUUUACGUCAGAUGACAACUGACAACUCCUCGAGGCGCAAUCCUUGCGAGAUUCGCAAGAGGCGAAAAGCAAUUUGCAUAAAAUAGUAAAAGUAGCGAAGCAAUAGAUCGCAGUACGCGAUUGGCGCAACGGAUAAUCAACCGCGGUCUAAUUGGAGUGCCAUUCCAUCACGAGAAAACCAGAUACGCGCGGCUAACGCGGGGCUUUUCUUCGUCGCGUUUGAAGCGCAUCGAUUCCAAGAUGCCGUCGGCAUCCUCGUUACAAAGGAUCUCUAGUUAUUGUGUGCUCGGGGGCGCAAAACUACAGCAGGGUUUUCGGAAAACGGAGGGGUAUUCGUCCCCGCAACGCGCGCGCAUUCUCAUUAGUACGCGGCCGCACGAAUCAACAACGUUCGCGCGCUGAUUAAUUAAUAACGCUCGUCGCAAACCGAUAGCCGAUCCGGGUGCAUUUAAUAACCGCGGCCUUCGAUGCGGUUUCGCGUCUCGAUAAACGGCAUAAUCGGAAAUAUGUUGCGCGGUGUAACGGAGAAAAGCGAACCGCCGUGAAACGAGCUCGAGCACGCACCGAGCGUAACUUUGCGCGUCGCGAAUAAAGAUUCCGGCAAUUGAACGGUCGAGGAAAUAACUAUGUGGUCUCUGCGCGGCGAUUUAAUCCUCCUGGAGCUAGCGUUUCUCAAAAAUCCCGCUCUAGUUUCGCGCGCAAAGUUAUUCCCCUCGAAGGGCCGCUUGAUCCUAGUAGAUGAGAGACAGAUGGGUUCCCCGUUUGCUAUUUAUUGAAAUUCCUCUAUACGUCACUCUCGCAUAUCAUCGUUAACGAUAACGAUCGAGAUUGUCAUUAUAUGAUAUUAUUAUGGAUGUAUAAAAUUUAUGUAUUAAA